RNAcentral lists this ribosomal RNA (784 nucleotides) under uncultured bacterium. Its description in RNAcentral is "bacterial SSU rRNA". It matches the Rfam family "Bacterial small subunit ribosomal RNA", at positions 8 to 812 of the family's 1533-position model. The record is from RNAcentral.
AGAGUUUGAUCCUGGCUCAGGAUGAACGCUGGCGGCGCGCUUUAUGCAUGCAAGUCGGACGCUCCUGAAACCCGCAAGGGUGGAAGGGGAGUGGCGAACGGGUGAGUAACACGUAAGAACCUACCCUCCGGUGGGGGAUAACCCCGGGAAACUGGGACUAAUACCGCAUACGUUCCCGGUGCUUCGGCUUCGGGAGGAAAGGGAAAUCGCCGGAGGAGGGGCUUGCGUCCUAUCAGGUAGUUGGUGGGGUAAUGGCCUACCAAGCCGAAGACGGGUAGCUGGUCUGAGAGGAUGUACAGCCACACGGGGACUGAGACACGGCCCCGACUCCUACGGGAGGCAGCAGCAGGGAAUUUUGCGCAAUGGGCGAAAGCCUGACGCAGCGACGCCGCGUGAGGGAUGAAGGCCUUCGGGUCGUAAACCUCUUUUGUUGGGAAAGUUGACGGUACCCAGCGAAUAAGCCUCGGCUAACUACGUGCCAGCAGCCGCGGUAAGACGUAGGAGGCAAGCGUUAUCCGGAUUUACUGGGCGUAAAGAGCGCGCAGGCGGCCCUUUAAGUUCGCAGUGAAAUCUCCCCGCUCAAGGGGGAGGGGUCUGUGGAAACUGGAGGGCUUGAGGGCAGAAGGGGGAGGUGGAAUUCCCGGUGUAGUGGUGAAAUGCGUAGAUAUCGGGAGGAACACCAGUGGCGAAGGCGGCCUCCUGGGCUGCCCCUGACGCUGAGGCGCGAAAGCGUGGGGAGCGAACCGGAUUAGAUACCCUGGUAGUCCAAGGCGAAUCGCGACCG